GAUGAACGCUGGCGGCGUGCCUAAUACAUGCAAGUCGAGCGAACGGACGAGAAGCUUGCUUCUCUGAUGUUAGCGGCGGACGGGUGAGUAACACGUGGAUAACCUACCUAUAAGACUGGGAUAACUUCGGGAAACCGGAGCUAAUACCGGAUAAUAUUUUGAACCGCAUGGUUCAAAAGUGAAAGACGGUCUUGCUGUCACUUAUAGAUGGAUCCGCGCUGCAUUAGCUAGUUGGUAAGGUAACGGCUUACCAAGGCAACGAUGCAUAGCCGACCUGAGAGGGUGAUCGGCCACACUGGAACUGAGACACGGUCCAGACUCCUACGGGAGGCAGCAGUAGGGAAUCUUCCGCAAUGGGCGAAAGCCUGACGGAGCAACGCCGCGUGAGUGAUGAAGGUCUUCGGAUCGUAAAACUCUGUUAUUAGGGAAGAACAUAUGUGUAAGUAACUGUGCACAUCUUGACGGUACCUAAUCAGAAAGCCACGGCUAACUACGUGCCAGCAGCCGCGGUAAUACGUAGGUGGCAAGCGUUAUCCGGAAUUUAUGGGCGUAAAGCGCGCGUAGGCGGUUUUUUAAGUCUGAUGUGAAAGCCCACGGCUCAACCGUGGAGGGUCAUUGGAAACUGGAAAACUUGAGUGCAGAAGAGGAAAGUGGAAUUCCAUGUGUAGCGGUGAAAUGCGCAGAGAUAUGGAGGAACACCAGUGGCGAAGGCGACUUUCUGGUCUGUAACUGACGCUGAUGUGCGAAAGCGUGGGGAUCAAACAGGAUUAGAUACCCUGGUAGUCCACGCCGUAAACGAUGAGUGCUAAGUGUUAGGGGGUUUCCGCCCCUUAGUGCUGCAGCUAACGCAUUAAGCACUCCGCCUGGGGAGUACGACCGCAAGGUUGAAACUCAAAGGAAUUGACGGGGACCCGCACAAGCGGUGGAGCAUGUGGUUUAAUUCGAAGCAACGCGAAGAACCUUACCAAAUCUUGACAUCCUUUGACAACUCUAGAGAUAGAGCUUUCCCCUUCGGGGGACAAAGUGACAGGUGGUGCAUGGUUGUCGUCAGCUCGUGUCGUGAGAUGUUGGGUUAAGUCCCGCAACGAGCGCAACCCUUAAGCUUAGUUGCCAUCAUUAAGUUGGGCACUCUAAGUUGACUGCCGGUGACAAACCGGAGGAAGGUGGGGAUGACGUCAAAUCAUCAUGCCCCUUAUGAUUUGGGCUACACACGUGCUACAAUGGACAAUACAAAGGGCAGCGAAACCGUGAGGUCAAGCAAAUCCCAUAAAGUUGUUCUCAGUUCGGAUUGUAGUCUGCAACUCGACUACAUGAAGCUGGAAUCGCUAGUAAUCGUAGAUCAGCAUGCUACGGUGGAUACGUUCCCGGGUCU
RNAcentral lists this ribosomal RNA (1372 nucleotides) under uncultured bacterium. RNAcentral's name for it is "bacterial SSU rRNA". It matches the Rfam family "Bacterial small subunit ribosomal RNA", at positions 28 to 1381 of the family's 1533-position model. The record is from RNAcentral.